CUGGUCCUACGGGACGCAGCAGUGAGGAAUAUUGGUCAAUGGGCGGUAGCCUGAACCAGCCACGUAGCGUGAAGGAUGAAGGUUCUAUGGAUUGUAAACUUCUUUUAUAAAGGAAUAAAGUGAGGCACGUGUGCCUUUUUGUAUGUACUUUAUGAAUAAGGAUCGGCUAACUCCGUGCCAGCAGCCGCGGUAAUACGGAGGAUCCGAGCGUUAUCCGGAUUUAUUGGGUUUAAAGGGAGAGUAGAUGGGUUGUUAAGUCAGUUGUGAAAGUUUGCGGCUCAACCGUAAAAUUGCAAUUGAUAAUG
This 305-nucleotide ribosomal RNA is filed under the name uncultured bacterium. RNAcentral describes it as "bacterial SSU rRNA". It matches the Rfam family "Bacterial small subunit ribosomal RNA", at positions 333 to 635 of the family's 1533-position model. The record is from RNAcentral.